Molecule: transfer RNA, 72 nt
Filed under: Phrynosoma platyrhinos (Desert horned lizard)
Lineage: Eukaryota; Metazoa; Chordata; Lepidosauria; Squamata; Phrynosomatidae
Description: tRNA-OTHER
Source: RNAcentral
GCCAAUAUGGUGUAGUGGUUUGAGCAUUGGACUACAACUCUGGAGAUCAGGGUUCAAUUCUCUGCUCGUGCA